Long non-coding RNA from Nerophis ophidion (straightnose pipefish), 151 nucleotides. RefSeq lists it as uncharacterized. NCBI's taxonomy places the organism in Eukaryota, Metazoa, Chordata, Actinopteri, Syngnathiformes, Syngnathidae. The record is from RefSeq and is a predicted model, not a curated record. The transcript has 2 exons.
CAGACGUGAACAGAACCAAAUUGUGUCCUUGUGUCUGUAGAACUAAAACAUCUCCCUUCUCAGACAAAACACGUCGGGAGAAAGUCAGAAAGUUGACGUCGGCGACCACUGGCGAAGCGAGAUGAAGUGUCUGGAGAAGUCUUCUACCAGG